This 388-nucleotide ribosomal RNA is filed under the name uncultured bacterium. RNAcentral describes it as "bacterial SSU rRNA". It matches the Rfam family "Bacterial small subunit ribosomal RNA", at positions 28 to 417 of the family's 1533-position model. The record is from RNAcentral.
GACGAACGCUGGCGGCGUGCUUAACACAUGCAAGUCGAGCGGUAAGGUCCUUUCGGGGGUACACGAGCGGCGAACGGGUGAGUAACACGUGGGUGACCUGCCCUCAGCUCUGGGAUAAGCCUGGGAAACCGGGUCUAAUACCGGAUAUGACUCCAUGACGCAUGUUGUGGGGUGGAAAGCCUUGUGCGGCUGAGGAUGGGCCCGCGGCCUAUCAGCUUGUUGGUGGGGUGAUGGCCUACCAAGGCGACGACGGGUAGCCGGCCUGAGAGGGCGACCGGCCACACUGGGACUGAGACGCGGCCCAGACUCCUACGGGAGGCAGCAGUGGGGAAUCUUGCGCAAUGGGCGAAAGCCUGACGCAGCGACGCCGCGUGAGGGAUGACGGCCU